This 446-nucleotide ribosomal RNA is filed under the name uncultured bacterium. Its description in RNAcentral is "partial 16S ribosomal RNA". It matches the Rfam family "Bacterial small subunit ribosomal RNA", at positions 338 to 795 of the family's 1533-position model. The record is from RNAcentral.
CCUACGGGUGGCAGCAGUCGAGAAUCAUUCACAAUGGGGGAAACCCUGAUGGUGCGACGCCGCGUGGGGGAAUGAAGGUCUUCGGAUUGUAAACCCCUGUCAUGUGGGAGCAAAUUAAAAAGAUAGUACCACAAGAGGAAGAGACGGCUAACUAUGUGCCAGCAGCCGCGGUAAUACAGGGGUCUCAAGCGUUGUUCGGAAUCACUGGGGGUAAAGCGUGCGUAGGCUGUUUCGUAAGUCGUGUGUGAAAGGCGCGGGCUCAACCCGCGGACGGCACAUGAUACUGCGAGACUAGAGUGAUGGAGGGGGAAGCGGAAUUCUCGGUGUAGCAGUGAAAUGCGUAGAUAUCGAGAGGAACACUCGUGGCGAAGGCGGGUUCCUGGACAUUAACUGACGCUGAGGCACGAAGGCCAGGGGAGCGAAAGGGAUUAGAUACCCGUGUAGUC